GGACCCGCACAAGCAGUGGAGCAUGUGGUUUAAUUCGACGCAACGCGAAGAACCUUACCAGCGUUUGACAUGGGAAGUGCCGGUUACAGAAUGGUAACCUUCAGUUCGGCUGGCUUCCACACAGGUGCUGCAUGGCUGUCGUCAGCUCGUGUCGUGAGAUGUUGGUUAAGUCCCGCAACGAGCGCAACCCUUAUCGUUAGUUACUAACAGUUCGGCUGAGGACUCUAGCGAAACUGCCGGUGAUAAGCCGGAGGAAGGUGGGGAUGACGUCAAGUCCUCAUGGCCCUUACACGCUGGGCUACACACGUGCUACAAUGGUACGGACAAAGGCAGCAAACUCGCGAGAGCUAGCAAA
RNAcentral lists this ribosomal RNA (355 nucleotides) under uncultured bacterium. RNAcentral's name for it is "bacterial SSU rRNA". It matches the Rfam family "Bacterial small subunit ribosomal RNA", at positions 917 to 1271 of the family's 1533-position model. The record is from RNAcentral.